Molecule: ribosomal RNA, 251 nt
Filed under: uncultured prokaryote
Description: partial 16S rRNA
Rfam family: Bacterial small subunit ribosomal RNA
Source: RNAcentral
ACAGAGAUGGCGAGCGUUACUCGGAUUUAUUGGGUGUAAAGGGCAGGUAGGCGGCUAUGCAAGUUGGGGGUGAAAUCCUGUGGCUCAACCACAGAACUGCCCUCAAAACUGCAUGGCUUGAGGCUAGAAGAGGAGAGCGGAAUUCCCGGUGUGAGAGUGAAAACUGUAGACAUCGGGAGAAACACCAGUGGCGAAAGCGGCGCUCUAGUCUAGCCCGGACGCUAAGCUUCAAGAGCUAGGGGCGCUAACAG